Esox lucius (northern pike) is the source of this 493-nucleotide long non-coding RNA. NCBI's taxonomy places the organism in Eukaryota, Metazoa, Chordata, Actinopteri, Esociformes, Esocidae. The record is from Ensembl.
ACUGAACUCAUCGAUGCAUCACCUGAAGGUACUGCCUCUGAGUCUGGCCUGGCAGAAGAUUGUCCAAUGGAUGAUCCGGGUGAAUGUCAGGUUGGUCAAUGAACUCACAGAUGGAUCAACAGGAGCUGCUUGUGAGAAACCUGCAUCCUGACCUGUCUGCCUGCUCCUUGGAUUUCUCUUACCGCCUAACCCUGCCUGUGCUGUUGCCAUCGCGGACUGAUCACCUGGUUUUCUGACCUGCCUGCCCGCCCCUGGAUUCUCCUGCCGUCUACCCCUGCCUGUACUGUUGCCUUCGUGGACUGAUCACCCGGUAUCCUGACCUGCCUGCCCGCCCCUGGAUUCUCCUGCCGUCUACCCCUGCCUGUACUGUUGCCUUCGUGGACUGAUCACCCGGUAUCCUGACCUGCCUGCCUGCUUCUGGUUUCUCCUCUCUGUCGAUUCCUGCCUUUGCGCCUUCGUGGAUUGAUCUCCUGGUUACUGAACCUACCGGCCC